UUGCACCCCCUGCCUCCCCCUCAGGGUGAGCCUGGCAUUCCUGGAAAGAAGGGGGAUGAUGGGACGCCAAGCCAGCCAGGGCUCCCUGGACCCCCAGGCCCCAAGGGCGAGCCAGGGAACGUGGGGCCUCGAGGAGAAAAUGGUGUGGACGGCGCCCCAGGGCCAAAGGGAGAGCCUGGCCAGCGAGGCGCCGAUGGAGCCUCGGGACUGCGGGGUCCCCAGGGCCUCAAGGGCGAACAAGGAGAUACAGUGGUGAUUGACUACGAUGGCAGGAUCCUGGAUGCCCUCAGGGUAGGUUCCUGGCAGGACCAGGA
RNAcentral lists this long non-coding RNA (314 nucleotides) under Ursus americanus (American black bear). RNAcentral's name for it is "lncRNA (ENSUAMG00000004593.1)". Lineage: Eukaryota; Metazoa; Chordata; Mammalia; Carnivora; Ursidae. The record is from RNAcentral.